Micropterus salmoides (largemouth bass) is the source of this 2288-nucleotide long non-coding RNA. RefSeq lists it as uncharacterized. NCBI's taxonomy places the organism in Eukaryota, Metazoa, Chordata, Actinopteri, Centrarchiformes, Centrarchidae. The transcript has 2 exons. The record is from RefSeq and is a predicted model, not a curated record.
UCAGGAGUGAAGCUGCUGUCUGAUCUUGUGGAGAGUCCACAUUGUAGACUGGAGACUCUGAGGUGGAAGUGAUCUCUGUCAGAGAGACAGAUGAUGUCUGGAUUCUGGAGGAAAGUUACCAUCUAAUAUUUAAUUUUGUAUAUUGUUAAUUUAAAAAAAAGUGGUAAUUGUUAGGCAAAACACAUUGUUUGUUACACGCUUUCUAUAAUUCAUUGCUUAAUAUACUUCACCUGUAGUACAAAUCUGCAUGGCUACUUUAAGACAUAAUUUAAUAUUGUAAGUAUAAUAUAUACUGUAGAUUUGAAUAGUGUGGUAUCACAAAAUGUAUUUCUUAAUACAUAUUUUGUCACGUGUGUGUACAUAACUGAAUCAAGAAGUAAACAUGUAUAUGUCUUAAGUGAUGUUUAAAACACAAGUAAGAAAGUCUGAACAACCUGAAGUCUCAGCAUGUUUCAGCCUCUUUUCUCAUCAUACUCUGAUUACUGUGUGAACUGUGUUACAACAUUAUUGAUCAUUAUCUCUGUUACAGUUAAUUACAUUUUCAUUAGACUCUGAGCCUAAGACAAAGCUGGAAAACCGUUCUCGACUCUGACUCCUUCACAGAGAAAUAUUUACUGUAUUUCACGAUUAAAGUCAACUGAAUAAAACUUCAUAGGAAUCAUGUUGUAUUUUCAAAAUGAAGGGGUAUUAGUUUCCAAUGAGUGCUCGCUCAGUCUGCAAGUGUAACACUGCCAUUUACCAGAAGUGUAAAUUUGCUUACUUUGCUUUUAAAAUACUUGUGCUGUCGUCCUUAAAGGAAUAACACGCCUUACGUUUUAGGCUGAGUUGCUUGCUAAAUUAGCCAACUACUAAGCUGUGUGUGGGGCGGAACAAGUGUUUUUAUAGAUCUAGCAUCAUUGCCGAGGAUGAGUGUUCAAGAACAGCCCAGUGACCAUGCUGUUUACAGGGGCGGUUUGUUCAUUAGAGCGAUCGGGCGACACACCACCAAGCCGGUAAAGGCAGAGGAUUUUUCUCACACUUUCUACCACACUGUUAGUAAGCUGUGGCUGUUUUGACAGACAGUCUGUCUUUGAAAAUCGUUGUCCAGUCAGCGUCAAGUCGUGUUCCGUGGAAUCCGCCCCUUUUGGGCCGAUUUGUCUGGUUGAAAAUCGCCCAGAUCGCUCUCAUUGACUUUCAUGUUAAGGCAGUUUUUUUUGGAACUGCGGGCACUGAAAUGCAAUGUCUAUGGGUUUCAGUUGGGCUCGCACUUACGUGUUUACGUCAUGCGCCCUGUAGCAGAGCUACGCUUCUGCCACCUGAAAACAACUCCGCAGUCCGCCAGCUUGUUGCACUCACUACGAUCAGCUGCUGUUUUAACAAAACGUAUGUUCAGGCUGAAAAUUCAACAGUGGUGUUGUGUCGGGAGAUACAGCGACUUUACCAGUGGUGAGAAAGAUAUACUAUAAAUAUGUUAUUUGUUAAGCUAUGGGGAGCGAGAAAGUCUGCUAGCCACUUGGCUAAUUUAUCCAAUUUAAAAUGUCAUAGGCUAAGCUAAUAAUUGUGAACAUAAAAAAAAUCUUGACAGCCAAAUUUUAUGCAUAUAUUAGAUGUGAUUGUUAAUAAGCCAUGUUUAAUGUGUGGUGGUGGAGUCGAUUUAAAGUUAACUUUGCUGCACUUAACCAGUAACAAUUAUUUUAUGUGUUGAUUUUUUCCUUUUGUUGCCAAAAACCACAGAAGAGGAGGUAGCAUGAUGGGGCUUCUUUGUCAGAGGAGGAUAAAAAGAAGGAGAGCAACACAGAAAAUAACCCAAAACAAUAGAAACACCUUUUUAUAUUUUCCCUUACGUGCCUUCUUGUUUAUGUGUAAAUACAGAGUGAGAAAGGGAGAACAGCACAUAGCUUGUUGUUACUAUGUGAUUAUAGAGCAGGCCUAUAGGAGAACAAUGGAUACUGUUAUACAGCCCACACCCCUAAUAAUACUGGGUAACUACAGGAUGACAAGUGGAGAACACUGAAGAUUUUUUACAACUCUCUACUCACCUUAUUAAUCUUGUGUAAUGUGUGUUGAAAAUAAAUACUAGGUUCAUCUCUAGCCCAUAAAACAUUUAAGCCUGGCUAUAUUUGAUUAUUGUAUUAGUUGAGGCUGAGGGCUUGUUUUCUACUCCAGCCUGUCCCUUAGCUGCAGUGCAGGAUGAACUGUAAAUAGUUUUAUUAAUUGUACUUUAUCAGCCCCAGUGCCACUGUGCUUUAUUCUGGAUUUCUUGUACCCUAAAUAAAUAAUAAAUAAUAAAUAAAAGGUUUGUCACAGCA